This 251-nucleotide long non-coding RNA is filed under the name Lupinus angustifolius (narrow-leaved blue lupine). Its description in RNAcentral is "long non-coding RNA (LANG_LNC003754)". The record is from RNAcentral. Lineage: Eukaryota; Viridiplantae; Streptophyta; Magnoliopsida; Fabales; Fabaceae.
CAAUCUUAAAUCAUGUCAAGUCGCUGCAAAAUCAAAAGUGCCAUAUGUGGCGUUUUACUUCAACAAUUUGUCCUACUUAAAUGGACCAUCAAGGAGCAGUUUCUUUCUCUGUAAGCUAUUCCAACUUUAAGUCUGGUCACAAGCUUCAAUGUCUUUAACUUGUAGCCAUAUGUCAAAUCCAUAUUGUGUUCCUUUCAUUUUAGUUAGUCUAGCGUGCAACAACCUUCAAUCUCAUGAAUCACUUUGAAUUU